This 90-nucleotide transfer RNA is filed under the name Myxococcales bacterium. RNAcentral describes it as "tRNA-Ser". It matches the Rfam family "tRNA". Rfam says of the family: Transfer RNA (tRNA) molecules are approximately 80 nucleotides in length. Their secondary structure includes four short double-helical elements and three loops (D, anti-codon, and T loops). Further hydrogen bonds mediate the characteristic L-shaped molecular structure. tRNAs have two regions of fundamental functional importance: the anti-codon, which is responsible for specific mRNA codon recognition, and the 3' end, to which the tRNAs corresponding amino acid is attached (by aminoacyl-tRNA synthetases). tRNAs cope with the degeneracy of the genetic code in two manners: having more than one tRNA (with a specific anti-codon) for a particular amino acid; and 'wobble' base-pairing, i.e. permitting non-standard base-pairing at the 3rd anti-codon position. The record is from RNAcentral. Lineage: Bacteria; Pseudomonadati; Myxococcota; Myxococcia; Myxococcales.
GGAGGAGUGGCCGAGCGGUCGAAGGCGGCGGACUUGAAAUCCGUUGGGCCCGUGAGGGUCUCGGGGGUUCGAAUCCCUCCUCCUCUGCCA